Molecule: unclassified non-coding RNA, 471 nt
Filed under: Hevea brasiliensis (rubber tree)
Lineage: Eukaryota; Viridiplantae; Streptophyta; Magnoliopsida; Malpighiales; Euphorbiaceae
Source: RNAcentral
AAGACCCACCAUCAGAAUUCGCAUUUCCUUCUUGGCAAAAAGCCGGCUGAAAAGCUUCGUAAAUGUCAACCCCAUUUCCACCCUCAGCUGUUGAUCCCUAAACACAAUAACAGCACUUAAGUCAGCCGUAAAUUUUACAUCCACAAAUAUCUAAAAGCACCCAAUAGCAGCUCCCAGCCAAUGGAAGUUCCACAGAACGAUCUUUGGAGAGAAUAGGAUCUGUGGGUAAAAUCAAAGAGAGAGCGAGCGCGCGCAAAAGCGAGAGAGAGAGAGAGAAGUGAGAAACGAAGCUUGACACCAACGCGUUAAAAAGGAAUGAGAAUCGGAAAGGAGAGAGAGUUAGAAAGGGAACAGCUGUUGGAUUUUGAAUUAACGGAAAUGCCCUUAUGUUUUGAGUAAAUUAUUGAUGAGUUACGCUCUUGGCCGGCUACCAAGGGGGUAAUAACGGAACUAUGAGUCGUCAGUUGGUGG